RNAcentral lists this ribosomal RNA (429 nucleotides) under Bacteroidota bacterium. RNAcentral describes it as "Bacteroidetes bacterium partial 16S ribosomal RNA". It matches the Rfam family "Bacterial small subunit ribosomal RNA", at positions 355 to 776 of the family's 1533-position model. Lineage: Bacteria; Pseudomonadati; Bacteroidota. The record is from RNAcentral.
UAGGGAAUCUUCCGCAAUGGACGCAAGUCUGACGGAGCAACGCCGCGUGAGUGAAGAAGGAUUUCGGUUCGUAAAACUCUGUUGUUAGAGAAGAACAGCGCAUAGAGUAACUGUUAUGCGUGUGACGGUAUCUAACCAGAAAGCCACGGCUAACUACGUGCCAGCAGCCGCGGUAAUACGUAGGUGGCAAGCGUUAUCCGGAAUUAUUGGGGGUACAGCGCGCGUAGGCGGUUUUUUAAGUCUGAUGUGAAAGCCCACGGCUCAACCGUGGAGGGUCAUUGGGAACUGGAAAACUUGAGUGCAGAAGAGGAAAGUGGAAUUCCAUGUGUAGGGGUGAAAUGCGCAGAGAUAUGGAGGAACACCAGUGGCGAAGGCGACUUUCUGGUCUGUAACUGACGCUGAUGUGCGAAAGCGUGGGGAUCAAACAGG